This 587-nucleotide ribosomal RNA is filed under the name uncultured bacterium. RNAcentral's name for it is "bacterial SSU rRNA". It matches the Rfam family "Bacterial small subunit ribosomal RNA", at positions 338 to 916 of the family's 1533-position model. The record is from RNAcentral.
CCUACGGGAGGCAGCAGUAGGGAAUCUUCCGCAAUGGACGAAAGUCUGACGGAGCAACGCCGCGUGAGCGAAGAAGGCCUUCGGGUCGUAAAGCUCUGUUGUUAGGGAAGAACAAGUAACGCAGUAACUGGCGUUACCGUGACGGUACCUAACGAGAAAGCCACGGCUAACUACGUGCCAGCAGCCGCGGUAAUACGUAGGUGGCAAGCGUUGUCCGGAAUUAUUGGGCGUAAAGCGCGCGCAGGCGGUUCCUUAAGUCUGAUGUGAAAGCCCACGGCUCAACCGUGGAGGGUCAUUGGAAACUGGGGGACUUGAGUGCAGAAGAGGAGAGCGGAAUUCCACGUGUAGCGGUGAAAUGCGUAGAGAUGUGGAGGAACACCAGUGGCGAAGGCGGCUCUCUGGUCUGUAACUGACGCUGAGGCGCGAAAGCGUGGGGAGCAAACAGGAUUAGAUACCCUGGUAGUCCACGCCGUAAACGAUGAGUGCUAAGUGUUAGAGGGUAUCCACCCUUUAGUGCUGUAGCUAACGCAUUAAGCACUCCGCCUGGGGAGUACGCUCGCAAGAGUGAAACUCAAAGGAAUUGACGA